RNAcentral lists this long non-coding RNA (1344 nucleotides) under Homo sapiens (human). RNAcentral describes it as "HSALNT0101262". The record is from RNAcentral. Lineage: Eukaryota; Metazoa; Chordata; Mammalia; Primates; Hominidae.
CGGGGCUUGAGCCGCGGAUUACCAGCACGCGCCCUGCAUCCCGGGGGCGGGGAGUGAGGCGGGGCAUCGCGGCUAGCGCCGUUGGCGGGGAACCGGGCGGGGAAUCUCUGUGCUUCCUCAGUCCCCAGGCCCAGCACCUGCAGGGCCGACCAGCUCCAGUCCCAGGUCCAAUCCUGAGUGGCCAAAAGCCGGAAACCCGGAGUUGGAAUUGGAUCUUGCACAAGCUGGACCACCCCUCAGAAUCUAGGAUAGCACCUGGCACACAUGGUGAGCACUCACUUCAUGGCUGUCGGAUAAACAAUGGAGCAAGGAAGGUGGAGAUGGAUGCUUACACAUGGGGAAUUGUAUCAGGAAGGAGUGUAUGUGUGAUUAAAACCUGUUCUACAUAAAUAGAAAAGUUGAUCAUUCAACACAUGGACGGCUAAGACUAUAUGCAGACUAUCCAUUCUCAGGAAGAAAAGGGAAGCAAUCUACCUGACUUCCCCAAAUGGAUUCCGUAUUUUGAUAUGAAUUGUUAUCAUGUGGGAAAUGCGAUGGCCUCCAGGUAUACUACCUCAGAGAUCAGUGAGCAGAAAAGCUCACAGAUCAAAUUAAAAUGCUUGAAUCUCUUAGUUUAUUUAAAUCAAUUUAAAGAGACAGUGAAAAGCAAGAGGAAAGAGAUGGGAUAAGUAAACGCUGUCAAGAGACGGUGCAAAUCUGGUGGAAGAUGCCUGCUACCUAAAGCCUACCUCAUACAAUGUUCAGGGGCCACCAUCCCCCACCUGCCCCAACCUCCACCCCUCUCUGUGAUAUUGACUUUCCUGUGGAUCGUGGUGCUGAAGACGACAGGUUUGAGCAAGGAGACUCAAAGAGGCAAGGUGCCCCACGCCAAUGACACAAACUUGCUCUGUCCGAGAUGCAGGUACAAGCAAGCCUAGCAAAGAGCUGAGCUUUGCCUGUUGGCCUGUGGAGCAACCAUGGGUUUUACUGUGUUUCUUGGACAGAGGACACUUGGGGACAGAAGUGAAUAGCAUGACUAUUUCAUGCUUAUGUAUAUUUUAUGCACUGUAUUUAGUGCCUCUUGGACAUUUAAUGUAUCAAAUAUUUCAUGCUCAGGUGUCUCAUGUAUACUUGGUAGCUAGGAAUGUUAGGUAUCCUGGACUUUCUAUUCCUUUCUGUGUCUAACACAUGUUCUACUUACUACUUAACACAUCUAAUAAAAUCUGCCUAUGUUUUAAAAACUAAGAUUUAUCUAUACUUAACUUGUACUAAAAGCUUUCCCCUGUAUUUCACAAACAUAUUAAUCUUCCUUAAAAGUAUUGAAUACUCCCAAAAACAAAUGUAUAUUCCAACUUUUUAUUUUCA